RNAcentral lists this ribosomal RNA (491 nucleotides) under uncultured bacterium. Its description in RNAcentral is "partial 16S ribosomal RNA". It matches the Rfam family "Bacterial small subunit ribosomal RNA", at positions 29 to 507 of the family's 1533-position model. The record is from RNAcentral.
AGUGAACGCUGGCGGUAGGCCUAACACAUGCAAGUCGAACGGCAGCACAGUAAGAGCUUGCUCUUACGGGUGGCGAGUGGCGGACGGGUGAGGAAUACAUCGGAAUCUACUUUUUCGUGGGUGAUAACGUAGGGAAACUUACGCUAAUACCGCAUACGACCUACGGGUGAAAGCAGGGGUUCUUCGGACCUUGCGCGAUUGAAUGAGCCGAUGUCGGAUUAGCUAGUUGGCGGGGUAAAGGCCCACCAAGGCGACGAUCCGUAGCUGGUCUGAGGGGAUGAUCAGCCGCACUGGAACUGAGACACGGUCCAGACUCCUACGGGAGGCAGCAGUGGGAAAUAUUGGACAAUGGGCGCAAGCCUGAUCCAGCCAUACCGCGUGGGUAAGAAGGCCUUCGGGUUGUAAAGCCCUUUUGUUGGGAAAGAAAAGCAGCAGGUUAAUACCCCGCUGUUCUGACGGUACCCAAAGAAUAAGCACCGGCUAACUUCGUG